UACGAAGGGGGCUAGCGUUACUCGGAUUGACUGGGCGUAAAGGGCGCGUAGGCGGUUCGUACAGUCAGACGUGAAAUUCCUGGGCUCAACCUGGGGGCUGCGUUUGAUACGUGCGGGCUUGAGUUCGGAAGAGGGUCGUGGAAUUCCCAGUGUAGAGGUGAAAUUCGUAGAUAUUGGGAAGAACACCGGGUGGCGAAGGCGGCGACCUGGUCCGAUACUGACGCUGAGGCGCGAAAGCGUGGGGAGCAAACAGG
RNAcentral lists this ribosomal RNA (254 nucleotides) under uncultured bacterium. Its description in RNAcentral is "partial 16S ribosomal RNA". It matches the Rfam family "Bacterial small subunit ribosomal RNA", at positions 524 to 776 of the family's 1533-position model. The record is from RNAcentral.